GGGGCGCUGAUGGCGGGAAGUGGGGGGGGGUGCUGACUGUGGGAAGUGGGGGGCGUUGACUGUGGGAAGUUUGGGGGCUUCCAGGCUGCCACUGCUUGGAGGCAGGUGCGGGGCAGGGAGGUGGCGUGGUCCAGGGCCUGGCCCCCUUUGCCCGGGAAGCUACGGGCCCUCGAGGCUUCGAGCGGAGGGAUGGCUGGGAAGCGACAGCACAGAACAAGGUGACCCGGUGAGCAGGCCGCUGCUCGUUUCCAGGCCGAGUCCCGAGGGAGCCCAUAUGCUGAGCAGAGCGUGUUGCCGGAGGGUGGGUUUUGGGCUGGGAGCGGCCGCCAGGCCUGGGGCUGGACUCCCAGGGCCGAGAGAGCUGGAGCCCCAGGAAGGGCCUGGAGGCCGAGAGGCUGCUAGAGGCUCAGACACAGGGGCAGUCCUAGAGCUCGGAGCCCCUCAGGGACCAGGCUGGGAGCUGGGCAGCCUGCAGGCGGCCCGGGCCACCCCCUACCCCAUGCAGAGAGUUGAGGCUCUGAGGUUCUUCGUGGCCAACACUGAAACAAAUUCAAGGCCCAAAGCCAUGAAGGGGGGGCAGGGGGAGGAUGCUGGCACCGGGAGAGCUGCACACAGGCCUCGGGGACCGCCUUCCAGAAGGGGCCACAGCACCAGCUCUGUCCCGGCCUGGGGUGGACUCUCUGGGCCGGCUGACCCUCCACCAUCCCGGGCCUCCUGCUGCCUCCUGGGCAACAGCUGGGUGUGGCUGGGGCAGGAGGGGCUGUCCCUUGGCCACAUCACAGCUGGCAAGCUCUGGCAGAGCUGGCACUGGUCACUGGCCCCUGGCAACCAGACCCUUCCAGGCUGGGAGGUGUUUAUGGUCCCUUGACCCAGAGGGGCCCAGCCAGGUCCUGUUCCAUGGCGGCAGUCCGGCGCCAGGCCUCUUCUCUGCGCCCACCCCAGGCCCCCGCUGCACUCCGGCCCUUCCUCUGCUAAGGAGUCUCAAGGUGGAAACAGUGCUUGGCCGGGCGUUUGCUCUGUUGAAACAGCGUGUGGUGCCUUCCGCAACGACGGCUCUGUCCCGGGGUCGGUCUGCAAAGGCAGAAGAAAACCCAGGGUCACGUUGGACAGAGUCCUUGUCACCACCGUGCUCACGCUCUGGCAGGGGAAGCGACGGGGCACGCCUCGGAUCAGGCACCACCAGGGUUGGAAGGAGUGUGGCUGAGCAUGCGGGGGUGGGGGCAGCUGGGGAGGGGACAUUGGAUAAGAUCUGA
RNAcentral lists this long non-coding RNA (1253 nucleotides) under Sus scrofa (pig). Its description in RNAcentral is "lncRNA (ENSSSCG00025031660.1)". The record is from RNAcentral. Lineage: Eukaryota; Metazoa; Chordata; Mammalia; Artiodactyla; Suidae.